UGAGGAAUAUUGGUCAAUGGGCGCAAGCCUGAACCAGCGACGCCGCGUGGGUGAAGAAGGCCUUCGGGUCGUAAAGCCCUUUUCUGUGUGAAGAGAGAGGACGGUAGCACAGGAAUAAGCGUCGGCUAACUACGUGCCAGCAGCCGCGGUAAAACGUAGGACGCAAGCGUUAUCCGGAAUUACUGGGCGUAAAGGGCGUGCAGGCGGUUCUUUAAGUUAGGCGUGAAAGCUCCGGGCUAAACCUGGAGAGGUCGUCUGAUACUGGGGAACUAGAGUGUGGUAGAGGGGUGUAGAAUUCCGGGUGUAGUGGUGAAAUGCGUAGAUAUCCGGAGGAAUACCAGUGGCGAAGGCGGCACCCCUGGGCCAUAACUGACGCUAAGACGCGAAAGCAUGGGUAGCGAACGGGAUUAGAAACCCCGGUAGUCCAUGCCGUAAACGAUGUGCACUCGGUGUUCUGACAGGGAAGCCUGUUGGAGUGCCCCAGCAAACGCGGUAAGUGCACCGCCUGGGGAGUACGGUCGCAAGGCUA
This 529-nucleotide ribosomal RNA is filed under the name uncultured bacterium. RNAcentral's name for it is "bacterial SSU rRNA". It matches the Rfam family "Bacterial small subunit ribosomal RNA", at positions 355 to 896 of the family's 1533-position model. The record is from RNAcentral.